This 68-nucleotide transfer RNA is filed under the name Trigonopterus sp. 1 AH-2016. RNAcentral's name for it is "tRNA-Phe". The record is from RNAcentral. Lineage: Eukaryota; Metazoa; Arthropoda; Insecta; Coleoptera; Curculionidae.
GUUUAAAUAGCUUAUAAAGAGCGUAGUAUUGAAGAUACUUGGGAUAUAUAUAUAUAUAUAUUUAAAUA